This 468-nucleotide ribosomal RNA is filed under the name uncultured bacterium. Its description in RNAcentral is "partial 16S ribosomal RNA". It matches the Rfam family "Bacterial small subunit ribosomal RNA", at positions 28 to 507 of the family's 1533-position model. The record is from RNAcentral.
GACGAACGCUGGCGGCGUGCUUAACACAUGCAAGUCGAACGGAAAGGCCCUGCUUUUGUUGGGUGCUCGAGUGGCGAACGGGUGAGUAACACGUGAGUAACCUGCCCUUGACUUUGGGAUAACUUCAGGAAACUGGGGCUAAUACCGGAUAGGAGCUCCUGCUGCAUGGUGGGGGUUGGAAAGUUUCGGCGGUUGGGGAUGGACUCGCGGCUUAUCAGCUUGUUGGUGGGGUAGUGGCUUACCAAGGCUUUGACGGGUCGCCGGCCUGAGAGGGUGACCGGCCACAUUGGGACUGGGAUACGGCCAAGACUCCUACGGGAGGCAGCGGGGGGGAAUAUUGCACAAUGGGCGGAGGCCUGAUGCGGCAACGCCGGGGGCGGGAUGACGGCCUUCGGGUGGUAAACCGCUUUCGCAUGGGACGAAGCGUGAGUGACGGUAAUGGGUAAAGAAGCACCGGCUAACUACGUG